Pezoporus flaviventris is the source of this 527-nucleotide long non-coding RNA. RefSeq lists it as uncharacterized. NCBI's taxonomy places the organism in Eukaryota, Metazoa, Chordata, Aves, Psittaciformes, Psittacidae. The record is from RefSeq and is a predicted model, not a curated record. The transcript is spliced from 2 exons.
AAAACCAUUAAAAAGAACAAAGGAGAAAGGCACAGCCUGUCAAACCGCACAGCACUACAAAGGCCAUCGUAAUAGAGUUGCAGGCUGCUGUCUUUUCCAGCUUGUAUGACAGAUGAAAAAUUUCAUUCUUGUGACAAAAACGGAGUAGAAGGCUCAAAAAACACCAUCAAAGGAGCAAACAAAGCAACUAAAAUCACAAUGUUAUUAUGUGUGCUAUUAACAUCUCCCUGAAGACCUAGAAGCUAGUUGCAGUGAUUUUGUUGAGAAGAUGCAGGCGCAGCAAUCUCAUGAGAAACUGAAAAGGAGGUCUGACAUAGCAGCCCAUCAUACUACUGCUUCAACUAACUGAAAACAUGACUAUACAGUACUAUCUGUAGCUGUUUUGGAGCUCUAAUUUCCUCCUUACAUAUCUUGCUUUUAUGUGUACAUAGAGUUGCACUUUCAUUUUGCAGGACACACAAGUAGCAGGAAGGUGAUUUGUUUAAGCUCUUCUGACAAAAGAAUGAUGAAGCUCACUUUAGCAAGCA